GCAAGACUGACAUUUUGACACCUUCGAGGAGCCCAAAAUUUUCCUCAGUUUCGUUGCCACCGUUUUAUACAUUGUGCAAUUCGUUAAUUGUUUGUAACUAAUAGUAUGGAAGUGGUAACCAAUGACAAAGCCUCCGAGAGAACAGCGAGCCCUGUCGGAAGUCCCGUUCGGAAGAAGCCCAAGAAGGAGCACAAACACAAACACAAAAAGCAUAGCAAUGAGAAAACCGAAAAGCCCAAGAAGCACAAGAAACAUAAGAAACACAAACACAAGUCCAAAGAUGCUGACGAAAAGACGACGCCGAGCAGCGAAAAAAAUGAUCGUUACACGCCCGAACUGUCGCCUAAACGUAAAACGGCGAACGGCGACAUAACCAAGGAGAAAAACGGUAAAGAAACCGUCGAUCCUGAUGUUGUAGUGAAUGAGGUUAGCAAGGGUUUGACUAACAAUGCACAGCCCUUGGAAGUUAUUUCUUCAGAGAGUGAAGAUGUUCCUGAGGCUGAUUGUGACAGUGAUGCAAUUGAUGUUAAUGUUAUCGAGGCUGAUAUGGACUUGGAGGAGUUGAUGAAGCAGAAGGAACUGUUGCAGGCACAGUUGAUGAAUGCUGAAAUUGAGGUUUCUCCCAGUCCAACUCCCAGUAAAAAGAAUGGCAAGCCAGCUGAGGAGGUCAUACUUUUGGACUCUGAUGAGGAUUCCAAGUGUAAGGUUUCAAGGAGUAAAAAGGAAACAGUUAAAGAAAGGAAAGUGGUGAUUAAGGAGAGGUCAAGGGAUGACAAAGAAAAGCACAGGGAUUCAUAUAACAAGGAAUUGGACAAGUAUUCCAGGGAGAGGGAAAGGGACAGGUAUAGCCAUAACAGACAUGCCAAAGUGGUAGAUAGGUAUGAGAGAGAGCGGGAAAGGGAAAGAGAGAGGGACAGGGACAGAUCAAGAUCCAGAAAUGACAGGGAUUUUUACAAUAAAAGGUAUGAAAGGGAGAGAUCCAUGGAUAAGUACAGAUCCAGAGACAGGUCAAGGGAUAGAAGAUUAGAUAGAGACAGGGACACAAUCAGGAGAGAUGAUAGGGAUUAUGAUAGGAACAGACAUAGAUCAUGCAGGCACAGAUCUAAGGAAAAGGAUCACAGGAACAGGGAAGUCAGGUCUAAACAUGAGAAGCAUGACAAGUUCAAGGAUUCACUGAGUGAAGGUAUGAAAAACAAAGUGGAAAGUGAGAGUGAUGGGGACAUGGACAUUGAUCUCAAUGAGGAUGAGGAAGAUGAAGAAGCAAUUAUUGAAAAGAGAAGAAAGGAGAGGGAGGAACUUUUAAAGAGAUUGGGAGCUACAAGUGAAGAUUCAAACACCAACAUAUCAAUGCCCUCGCCCAAAGACAAUCAGUCAGAAGAUGAAGUUAAAAUAGUGGAGCCAGAUCCUGAGCCAGAAGUUAUUGAAGAAAAAUCGGAUAACAUAGAACAAUCACUGACGCCACCAUUACUGCCAAACAUGAAAAUAGUAGAACCAGAGAAAAAGGAGGAAGUUAAAGCAAAGAGGAAUGAUUGGGACAUGUUUGCUGAUCAAGAUAGCUUUAAAACUAACACAAAUUCCCCCAGUACAAUUAUAACCAAAGGAAGUGGUGCCGAAAAUCCCGCACUGACUGACAAUUGGGAUGAUGCAGAAGGCUACUACAGAGUCCGAAUAGGAGAAGUUCUUGACACAAGAUACAUGGUUUAUGGUUACACAGGCCAGGGUGUGUUCAGUAAUGUAAUAAGAGCAAGGGAUCAGGCACGGGGCAAUCAAGAUGUGGCUGUUAAAAUUAUCAGAAACAACGAAAUUAUGCACAAGACGGGUUUAAAAGAACUGGAAAUCCUGAAAAAACUGAACGACGCAGAUCCUGAGGACAAACUGCAUUGUCUCAGAUUAAUCCGUCACUUUUUCCAUAAGCAACAUCUGUGCAUGGUUUUUGAGCCGUUGGCGAUGAAUCUACGUGAAGUCCUGAAGAAAUACGGCAAGGACGUCGGAUUACAUAUCAAAGCUGUCAGAAGCUACACCCAGCAGCUACUGCUUGCGUUGAAGCUGCUGAAGAAGACGGGUAUCCUCCACGCAGAUAUAAAACCGGAUAACAUAUUGGUAAAUGAGAGUAAGCUGGUGUUGAAGCUGUGCGAUUUCGGCUCAGCAUCGGUAAUCAAUGAGAACGACAUUACUCCGUACUUGGUAUCUAGAUUUUAUCGUGCCCCUGAAAUUAUUUUAGGCAUUCCGUACGAGUUUGGCAUCGAUAUGUGGUCAGCCGCCUGUACAAUCUACGAACUGUACACCGGCAGAAUCAUGUUCUCAGGGAAGUCCAACAAUCAGAUGCUCAAGUUUUUCAUGGAUGUGAAGGGCAAGUUCCCCAACAAGGUUAUCAGAAAGGGCGCGUUCAAAGAUCAGCACUUCGACAGCAACUGCAACUUCCUGUAUCACGAAAUCGACAAGGUCACUGAAAGGGAAAAGGUCGUCGUGAUGACGGUGGUAAAGGUGACCAGAGACCUGCAAUCGGAAUUGGUGGCCGGCCAGGCGCUGCCGCAGGAUCAGCUGCGUAAAGUGUCCCAAUUGAAGGACCUGUUGGAAAAAGCGCUGGCGAUCGAUCCCGCUAAGCGGAUCAGUUUGAACAACGCGCUCACCCAUCCGUUUAUACAGGACAAGAUCUGAGCGCUUGUGUCUCUAGUUUUGUGAGAACAAAAUGGUCAACAGGAUGAAAUACUCAGGCGUCUAAUCAGAAAGAGUACAGGUAGUGUUUGUGUUGAUUGGGAGCAUUUUUUCAGGACUUCAUUCCAUUCCCUGUCAAUAAAAGAGGAAAACACAGUUCGAUGGAUUUUCCAAAUGUAAAGAAUAUCCAUAAAGAGGAUAAGUAGUCAUAAGUGAAAACAAAACAGCUCUCAUUAAUAUGCAAUUUAUUUAUUUCUAGUUUUAUAACAU
RNA transcript from Aethina tumida (small hive beetle), 2925 nucleotides. RefSeq lists it as uncharacterized. NCBI's taxonomy places the organism in Eukaryota, Metazoa, Arthropoda, Insecta, Coleoptera, Nitidulidae. The transcript is spliced from 9 exons. The record is from RefSeq and is a predicted model, not a curated record.